RNAcentral lists this ribosomal RNA (638 nucleotides) under Serratia nematodiphila. Its description in RNAcentral is "bacterial SSU rRNA". It matches the Rfam family "Bacterial small subunit ribosomal RNA", at positions 50 to 675 of the family's 1533-position model. The record is from RNAcentral. Lineage: Bacteria; Pseudomonadati; Pseudomonadota; Gammaproteobacteria; Enterobacterales; Yersiniaceae.
UACACAUGCAAGUCGAGCGGUAGCACAGGGGGAGCUUGCUCCCCGGGUGACGAGCGGCGUGACGGGUGAGUAAUGUCUGGGAAACUGCCUGAUGGAGGGGGAUAACUACUGGAAACGGUAGCUAAUACCGCAUAACGUCGCAAGACCAAAGAGGGGGACCUUCGGGCCUCUUGCCAUCAGAUGUGCCCAGAUGGGAUUAGCUAGUAGGUGGGGUAAUGGCUCACCUAGGCGACGAUCCCUAGCUGGUCUGAGAGGAUGACCAGCCACACUGGAACUGAGACACGGUCCAGACUCCUACGGGAGGCAGCAGUGGGGAAUAUUGCACAAUGGGCGCAAGCCUGAUGCAGCCAUGCCGCGUGUGUGAAGAAGGCCUUCGGGUUGUAAAGCACUUUCAGCGAGGAGGAAGGUGGUGAGCUUAAUACGCUCAUCAAUUGACGUUACUCGCAGAAGAAGCACCGGCUAACUCCGUGCCAGCAGCCGCGGUAAUACGGAGGGUGCAAGCGUUAAUCGGAAUUACUGGGCGUAAAGCGCACCCAGGCGGUUUGUUAAGUCAGAUGUGAAAUCCCCGGGCUCAACCUGGGAACUGCAUUUGAAACUGGCAAGCUAAAGUCUCGUACAGGGGGGGAGAAUUCCAGGUG